CAGUCGUACCGACGAUAAAUCAGCUCCUUGAGUGCGGACUUGUGGGCGUGCGUGAGCUUUAAAACCUCGCUGUUUGCAACGUUUGUACUUUUUGGGUGUACUUUUUCGUAUGGUAGGCCAACGUCAGUUUCGAUUACCAUAAAAUGACUGGAGGAAUGUGGCUUCGAUCUCGUAUUGAAGUGUUAUAGCCUUUGGUAGAUGUGAUGUUCGAGACCGAGGAUUGCAACGGAUACCCUUCUGGGCUAUUCGUCUGAUCUCUGAUACGUUGCCUUGGUGUCGAAAGCUUGCUUAUGAUAUUAGGGUAUUACGGUCAAAAGGUUAGAACGGAUUAAA
RNAcentral lists this ribosomal RNA (333 nucleotides) under uncultured Glomeromycotina. RNAcentral describes it as "eukaryotic LSU rRNA". The record is from RNAcentral. Lineage: Eukaryota; Fungi; Glomeromycota.